Molecule: ribosomal RNA, 450 nt
Filed under: uncultured bacterium
Lineage: Bacteria
Description: bacterial SSU rRNA
Rfam family: Bacterial small subunit ribosomal RNA
Source: RNAcentral
GUGGGGAAUUUUGGACAAUGGGGGCAACCCUGAUCCAGCCAUGCCGCGUGCGGGAAGAAGGCCUUCGGGUUGUAAACCGCUUUUAGUCGGGAAGAAAAGGCGCGGCCUAAUACGUCGCGUUCUUGACGGUACCGGCGGAAUAAGCACCGGCUAACUACGUGCCAGCAGCCGCGGUAAUACGUAGGGUGCGAGCGUUAAUCGGAAUUACUGGGCGUAAAGCGUGCGCAGGCGGUUCGUUAAGUCUGAUGUGAAAGCCCCGGGCUCAACCUGGGAAUGGCAUUGGAAACUGGCGGGCUUGAGUGUGGCAGAGGGGGGUGGAAUUCCGCGUGUAGCAGUGAAAUGCGUAGAGAUGCGGAGGAACACCGAUGGCGAAGGCAGCCCCCUGGGCUAACACUGACGCUCAGGCACGAAAGCGUGGGGAGCAAACAGGAUUAGAUACCCUAGUAGUCC